ACGCUGCCCACAGAAUCGCCGCCCCAACCCACGCUCCCUCCUCUCGCCAGUCCUCUCUCCCAUCGCCUCCAUCGUCUCGCUCGUCCUCCUAUCUCCCAUCGCCGCGCUCCGCCUCGCCGUCCUCCUCCUCUCCGUUACGCCUGGGGCAGCCGGCAAGGAUCCCCUCCUCCACUGCUCCCUUUUUCCCCUCCUCCAUCGCUCCCUUUUUCACUGGGCAGAGAGAAGCAGAAAGGGGCGCGAGUUUGUGGGAGAAGUGUCGCUGUCUUCAGCGCAGGGGAGCACGAGCCGCCGAAGAGAAGAGGAGGAAGAGGAGGAGGUGCCAGGGCGGGGCUCAGCAGCGCAGGUCAAGUGCGGGCCAGUGACCCGCUGUGGAAACCCUAGCCGCUCGCGUCGAUUCACGUGCUGCCACCUCCCCGUCCCUCCUCGAGCUCGUCGCGGUCCGGCUAGCCGAGGUGCAGCUGCUGUUUGGAACCUUGGUGAGUUGGGGAAGAUAGCUGGCCGACUCUUUGUUGUACAAUAGGUGCAGCUGCUGUUUGGAACCUUGGUUGUGCUUGCAUCUAAAGGGCGGAGACAAUGGAUGGAACAAAAGAUGGAUCGUCGCAAAGAGGCAUGAGCCUGGCGGCUAAUGAAGGAGAGAGGAGGUGGCAUAUGGAGGAUGAGAAGGCGGAGGAGGUGGUAUAUGGAGGGUGAGCAGGCGGACGAGGUGGCACUCCCACAACCUGCAGCUGGCUUGUCGCGCGAGAAUCAGAAUGCAACAUACUUGUGUUUGUGCCUUUCUAAUCGCCUAUCUAUGUUUUUGAACAUAAUUCCAGCUGUUAACGAAUCAACAUACUGUUAAUUGCAAAGUUAGUACCAUUGUUGUUCCCUUUAAGAUUAUCACGAACAGAAUUUUUUUCUUUCACUGUUCAACAUUUGUUAUAGAAAAGUUACUCCACUUCGUAUGCUCUCUAUAUGUUCAAGUUGGUCUAUUGUUGUAUUUGUUCAAUUCCUCUAAGCAUAUGUUAUUCAGUGUAUUUAUAUUUUGAACGUUUCGCGGGUAUUUAACGUCAACCCCUGCUUGUCAGCCCGGAGAGAGGGAUAUUUUACUCCGUCCUUUAUUUACACCCUGUUGAUUAUCAUCGAGUUCACUCUCCUGUUGAUUGGAAUAUUUUAAAACGUCAACAUUUCUCAGGUAACCUUUUCUGAACAAGUGUACGUGUUGUGCGGACCAUAAGAAACUUGUGUUGAGAAUGAAAGGGUAAAUUGCAAUCCUAGCAGUUGGCGCUACUAAUGUUAGUUCUGUCAGGGUAUGUAUUCUGCCCAAUUAUGAGUUAUUAUUCUCUUAUUGCUGGAAUAUAACUUUCAGCAUGAGAAAUUAUUAUUUUGUUGCUUAUUUCUCUGUAUAUGUUGAGAUGUGACCUUGAAUGCUUGUGUCUGGGUGGCAGGGGAUUUCUAAACCAGUGGCAACAACGGCCAAUGAUCUGAAUUGCAGAUAAUUGUUGUACUGCAUGAUAUCUCUAGCUCCUUUUUCAUAUCGUUUUAUUCUAUUGAUAUUUCAAAGGUUUCCCAAUUAAUAAGUUGACAGAUGAAAAUGAUAUUUAUGUGAGUUGUCACUGAAUUAUUUUUAGGGUACUAACUUUAGUUUCUUUGUACUGAUGUUCUGUACCAGGUAGAGUACAAUCCCAUUUGAUUUUCUCAAUUUGGCAUAAUGAUUGGUUUUUACACAUAGGAAAUACAUUCUGGAAAUUUUGCUUGAUGAUUCUUCUGCCAUGAUUUCUGUGGAUCGCUAUAACAUUACUAUUCAUUUUUCAUGUGGUGUGUUGGCUAGACUUAGUUUAUUGUGUAUAAAAAUAGAUCAACCAUUCAAAUACCUUUUAUGUGUUAUAAGAGAAAGAAACAACAUUUGAUUGGUAUUAGUUUCUGUGAGCAUUGAUUUAUUAUUUAUAACGAGCAAACAAUACUCUUUGCUAUAUAGCAUUUCUGCCUACCAUCUAAAACUGAGCACCUCUUUGUAGGGAAUGAUUUUUGUGGCGUCCAUUCGCUGGCACACGACGUCUCCCAGUGCCGCAUUAUCGCUGAUUCAAUCCUAGGUGCCGCAUCACCAUUCUUGAUGUCGCCACCGCGACAAGGUUGUGGUCAUGUCCUCAGGUAAAUAUUCACCGGAGAAAAACUACAGGCAUAUAUCGUAGUUCCUAUGUUCAGCUGGUUGUAACCUGCCGUGCAUAUGUUUUGAUGAAAUUAUGAAGGAUUUGCAGCUUCCGUCAUCAGCGAGAGAGAAUAGCUGGGAAUGUCGGUGUUCUGUGCUGUUGAGUUAUGGGUGAGUCACCUAAUUGUGGAUGACAAAUAAAGUGUCAGGAAAAUUUGUCUGCCACACAAUAGAAGGGGAUUAGGCGGUGAUGGUGUCUUCGUCUCAGGAAACGCUGGACCUACUUUGUGAUCAAGGAGAACAAAUAUAAACAGAACACUUCUUUUCUCAUGGACAGUUUUAUGUGGCCAUCUCAAGGGUCACUUCGAGGAGUGGAUUAAAGAUUAUUACACUAGAUGAGAAUGGUUCUGCUGGAGUAAGUGGAGGAGAAGGAACGCCUGCCGCUGGUGAGGACUCAGGGUAUUGCCAUCAACAAGAUGGAGGAUCAGACUACCGCCAACUAACUAGAUCAUCUUGAUUCUCUGUUAGCAUAGCUUUGCAUCUAAUAGCUCACACCAAUCUAUGGUUUCCUUGUGCUUAGAUGUUUUAUUAGACAGAUGUAUAAUGCAUUUCUCAAAGUACUGAACGAACUGGAUUGACCUUCACAAUCAAGGCACAUUCUAACAAAUCAGUAGAAAAAAACAUACCAGCUAUCUAGAGAUCUAUUGAAUUUGCUCCA
Long non-coding RNA from Lolium perenne, 2843 nucleotides. RefSeq lists it as uncharacterized. Lineage: Eukaryota; Viridiplantae; Streptophyta; Magnoliopsida; Poales; Poaceae. The record is from RefSeq and is a predicted model, not a curated record.